RNAcentral lists this transfer RNA (81 nucleotides) under Longispora fulva. It matches the Rfam family "tRNA". Rfam says of the family: Transfer RNA (tRNA) molecules are approximately 80 nucleotides in length. Their secondary structure includes four short double-helical elements and three loops (D, anti-codon, and T loops). Further hydrogen bonds mediate the characteristic L-shaped molecular structure. tRNAs have two regions of fundamental functional importance: the anti-codon, which is responsible for specific mRNA codon recognition, and the 3' end, to which the tRNAs corresponding amino acid is attached (by aminoacyl-tRNA synthetases). tRNAs cope with the degeneracy of the genetic code in two manners: having more than one tRNA (with a specific anti-codon) for a particular amino acid; and 'wobble' base-pairing, i.e. permitting non-standard base-pairing at the 3rd anti-codon position. Lineage: Bacteria; Bacillati; Actinomycetota; Actinomycetes; Micromonosporales; Micromonosporaceae. The record is from Rfam by way of RNAcentral. RNAcentral also lists the same sequence under 3 other names.
GCCCGGGUGGUGGAAUGGCAGACACGGCCGACUUAAAAUCGGCUGCCGCAAGGCGUGCGGGUUCGACCCCCGCUCCGGGCA